UGUUAGCCAGGAGGGCUUAGUUGCAAUAACUGCACAGUAAAUAGGGCCUGAGGAAAAGGCCAGUCAUCUGCAAGCAUCUGCAGUAAGCAUCCUUUGCCGCAGCUGGUUCUCGGUCUGGUGGGUAGAUCCCCGGACUGGGAUAAUUUUCUAGAUUUUUCUACUAGGAGGGUAGAGCAGAAUUGAGGCCAGUCUGAACGAGCAGUGAGGAGACUGUUACAGAACUCGCCUGAAACCAAUCCUGAGAACGGC
RNAcentral lists this long non-coding RNA (249 nucleotides) under Selaginella moellendorffii. Its description in RNAcentral is "long non-coding RNA (SMOE_LNC000626)". The record is from RNAcentral. Lineage: Eukaryota; Viridiplantae; Streptophyta; Lycopodiopsida; Selaginellales; Selaginellaceae.